Molecule: ribosomal RNA, 557 nt
Filed under: Pipiza noctiluca
Lineage: Eukaryota; Metazoa; Arthropoda; Insecta; Diptera; Syrphidae
Description: eukaryotic LSU rRNA
Source: RNAcentral
UGCUUAGAGGUUAAACCCGAUGAACCUGAAUAUCCGUUAUGGAAAAUUCAUCAUUAAUAUUAUUAUAUUUAAAAAUAUAAUAAAAAUAGUGUGCAAUUUUUCCAUAUAAGGACAUUGUAAUCUGUUAAUGUUUUAAAUAUUUAUCAAAAAGUCUAUAACAUAAGUUUAUUCAAAUUAGUUAUUUUCGAAUUUCUAACAUAGAAUAAUUGUAUUAGAUUCGAUAAAUCAUUGACAGAUUUUACUAUAUAUAAUGCUUAAAUUCAUUUUUGAAUUUUAUAAUUAUAGUAAAAAUUUAUUUUUAUUUAUAAUUAUAUGCAUUUAUAUGAUUAACAAUGCGAUAGAUUCAGGAUACCUUCGGGACCCGUCUUGAAACACGGACCAAGGAGUCUAACAUAUGUGCAAGUCAUUGGGUAUUUUUAAUAAAACCCAAUGGCAUAAUUAACUUAACUGUUUUUUAAUGGGAUUAGUUUAUAUUUUAUUAUGAAAUAAAAAUUCAAUCCCGGGGCGUUCUAUACAGUUAUGCAUAAUGAUAUUUAUAUUAUUUAUGCCUCUAACUA